GAUGAACGCUGGCGGUAUGCUUAACACAUGCAAGUCGAACGGUCACUUCGGUGAUAGUGGCGGAUGGGUGAGUAACGCGUGAGAAUCUGUCUUCAGGUCGGGGACAACAGUUAGAAAUGACUGCUAAUACCGGAUGUGCCUUUGGGUGAAAGAUUUAUUGCCUGAAAAAGAGCUCGCGUCAGAUUAGCUAGUAGGUGGUGUAAGAGACUACCUAGGCUCCGAUCUGUAGCUGGUCUGAGAGGACGAUCAGCCACACUGGAACUGAGACACGGUCCAGACUCCUACGGGAGGCAGCAGUGGGGAAUUUUCCGCAAUGGGCGGAAGCCUGACGGAGCAAUACCGCGUGAGGGACGAAGGCUUUUGGGUCGUAAACCUCUUUUCUCAAGGAAGAUGAUGACGGUACUUGAGGAAUAAGCAUCGGCUAACUCUGUG
RNAcentral lists this ribosomal RNA (432 nucleotides) under uncultured bacterium. Its description in RNAcentral is "partial 16S ribosomal RNA". It matches the Rfam family "Bacterial small subunit ribosomal RNA", at positions 28 to 507 of the family's 1533-position model. The record is from RNAcentral.